GACGACCCGUGCGAACGUUGUUCGGAAUCACUGGGCUUAAAGGGAGCGUAGGCGGGCUGUCCAGUCUGGGGUGAAAUUCCACGGCUCAACCGUGGAACUGCCUCAGAUACUGACGCACUCGAGGGAGGUAGGGGCGAGCGGAACUGUGGGUGGAGCGGUGAAAUGCGUUGAUAUCCACAGGCACUCCGGUGGCGAAGGCGGGUCCCUGGACCUCCACUGACGCUGAGGCACGAAACCUAGGGGAGCAAACGGC
This 253-nucleotide ribosomal RNA is filed under the name uncultured bacterium. Its description in RNAcentral is "partial 16S ribosomal RNA". It matches the Rfam family "Bacterial small subunit ribosomal RNA", at positions 524 to 776 of the family's 1533-position model. The record is from RNAcentral.